CCUACGGGCGGCAGCAGUGGGGGAUAUUGCACAAUGGGGGAAACCCUGAUGCAGCGACGCCGCGUGGGCGAAGAAGUAUUUCGGUAUGUAAAGCCCUAUCAGCAGGGAAGAAGAAAUGACGGUACCUGAGUAAGAAGCACCGGCUAAAUACGUGCCAGCAGCCGCGGUAAUACGUAUGGUGCAAGCGUUAUCCGGAUUUACUGGGUGUAAAGGGAGCGCAGGCGGCACGGCAAGCCUGAUGUGAAAGCCCGGGGCGCAACCGCGGGACUGCAUUGGGAACUACCGGGCUGGAGUGCCGGAGAGGUAGGCGGAAUUGCUAGUGUAGCGGUGAAAUGCGUAGAUAUUAGGAGGAACACCAGUGGCGAAGGCGGCCUACUGGACGGUGACUGACGCUGAGGCUCGAAAGCGUGGGGAGCAAACAGGAUUAGAUACCCCAGUAGUC
This 442-nucleotide ribosomal RNA is filed under the name uncultured bacterium. Its description in RNAcentral is "partial 16S ribosomal RNA". It matches the Rfam family "Bacterial small subunit ribosomal RNA", at positions 338 to 795 of the family's 1533-position model. The record is from RNAcentral.